CAGGUCGGUUGGGCGAUCGCGGCUCUGCGUUGUCGGGGUCGAGGAAAGUCCGCACUCCAUAGAGCACGGCGUCGGAUAGCACCCGGGGCGGGGAACCCUCCGUGAGGAGCUAACCUGCCGGACAAGGGCCACAGAAACAAACAGCCGCCCCCACCCAAACCCUCCCCCAAUUUGGGGAAGAGCUGGGAGGGGCAGGUGAUGGUGAAAAGGUGGUGUAAAAGACCACCGGCAUCUGCAGUAAUGUGGAUGGCCAGGUAACCCCCGCCGGGAGCAAGACCAAGUAGGGACGAAGCCAUC
RNAcentral lists this RNase P RNA (297 nucleotides) under Anaerolineales bacterium. RNAcentral describes it as "partial RNase P RNA component class A". It matches the Rfam family "Bacterial RNase P class A", at positions 1 to 248 of the family's 367-position model. From Rfam's summary of the family: Ribonuclease P (RNase P) is a ubiquitous endoribonuclease, found in archaea, bacteria and eukarya as well as chloroplasts and mitochondria. The record is from RNAcentral. Lineage: Bacteria; Bacillati; Chloroflexota; Anaerolineae; Anaerolineales.